Molecule: transfer RNA, 79 nt
Filed under: Escherichia coli
Lineage: Bacteria; Pseudomonadati; Pseudomonadota; Gammaproteobacteria; Enterobacterales; Enterobacteriaceae
Description: tRNA-Thr
Rfam family: tRNA
About the family: Transfer RNA (tRNA) molecules are approximately 80 nucleotides in length.
Source: RNAcentral
GCCGAUUUAGCUCAGUAGUCGGUAGAGCAACUGACUUGUAAUCAGUUGCUCACCAGUUCGAUUCCAGUAGUCGGCACCA